GGGACUAAAAACAAGAGUUUUAAAAACGUUAGAAAUGCAAAUGUUGGGCCUCACUCUAGACCUACUGAGUGAAACUCCGGGUGUAGGAUUUUUCCAUUGAUUUUCAGAGAGUGUAGAAGAGAGGGAAAGACAGAGCAAAAUAUCAAUGCAAGAAAAACACAUGAAUUGGUUACCUCCUGCACACCCCCUACUGGGGACGGAGCCUGCAACCUGGGCAUGUGCCUUUGACCAGAAUCGAACCUGGAACCUGCAGUCCGCGGGCAAACGCCUGAGCCAAAUCGACAAGCCAUCCAGGUGGUUCUGAUCGAAGCUCAAGUUUGAGAACCAUUGUGCUAAGCUCAUUCCAGGAAUGUAGGCGGUUAUCUUUGGGAUGGGAGAAGCGUAAGUCCUGCGUAACUGGGCAGCAGGGUAACAUUAGCGCGGCGCCAGGCCAAUUCUCCCCCUCGCCUCUACCAGCACCCUCCGCUGAGCCCAAGCUCUCGGACUUGGGUGCUUUUCCCUGGGAGCCGUGGCCAAAUCCUGGUGAGCCUUCUUUCCAUUACCUGCUUCUACUUCAUAUUCUCCUGGGUAAGACCUGUGUUCAGAUGUGAAAGGAAAGGACGUCCGCUUCUGACCUCUACCCAUUACUCGUCUCGACAUCCAAAAACUCAUCACAUCACCCAGCUCUUUCCCUGAACAAAGUACUGCUGUGUCUGAAAGUUCCUGUUUGCCUUUUUUUUUUUUGGUGAGAAACACAUACCAUGGCUUCUAUAAAAACAAGUUGCUUUUUAGUAAUACUCUGCACACAGAAAGGGUGGGAAUUAGAAUGGUGAUUAAAAGAGUUUUUCUUUUAUUUAAACACUUAUUUCAUGAGAAAGUAUUUUAUUUUCUAGUACACUUACAGAUAACUUGCUCAUAAAGCCCAGUUGUGAAGGGGACUUUAGACUUUAUAAUAAACUGAAUUUGUAUGGCUUACUCUUUUGAGCAAUCCAGAUCUAUAAAACUCUAAGAAUAUUGGGAUAACUGACUGCAUACAGAUAUGCUGUACAGAGGAA
This is a long non-coding RNA of Myotis daubentonii (Daubenton's bat), 1034 nucleotides long. RefSeq lists it as uncharacterized. Lineage: Eukaryota; Metazoa; Chordata; Mammalia; Chiroptera; Vespertilionidae. The transcript is spliced from 3 exons. The record is from RefSeq and is a predicted model, not a curated record.